GAUGAACGCUGGCGGCGUGCUUAACACAUGCAAGUCGAACGAUGAAGCCCAGCUUGCUGGGUGGAUUAGUGGCGAACGGGUGAGUAACACGUGAGUAACCUGCCCUUAACUCUGGGAUAAGCCUGGGAAACUGGGUCUAUUACCGGAUAGGAGCGCCUACCGCAUGGUGGGUGUUGGAAAGAUUUAUCGGUUUUGGAUGGACUCGCGGCCUAUCAGCUUGUUGGUGAGGUAAUGGCUCACCAAGGCGACGACGGGUAGCCGGCCUGAGAGGGUGACCGGCCACACUGGGACUGAGACACGGCCCAGACUCCUACGGGAGGCAGCAGUGGGGAAUAUUGCACAAUGGGCGAAAGCCUGAUGCAGCGACGCCGCGUGAGGGAUGACGGCCUUCGGGUUGUAAACCUCUUUCAGUAGGGAAGAAGCGAAAGUGACGGUACCUGCAGAAGAAGCACCGGCUAACUACGUG
Molecule: ribosomal RNA, 466 nt
Filed under: uncultured bacterium
Lineage: Bacteria
Description: partial 16S ribosomal RNA
Rfam family: Bacterial small subunit ribosomal RNA
Source: RNAcentral